Molecule: ribosomal RNA, 1017 nt
Filed under: uncultured bacterium
Lineage: Bacteria
Description: bacterial SSU rRNA
Rfam family: Bacterial small subunit ribosomal RNA
Source: RNAcentral
GAGCGGUAGAGAGAAGCUUGCUUCUCUUGAGAGCGGCGGACGGGUGAGUAAUGCCUAGGAAUCUGCCUGGUAGUGGGGGAUAACGUUCGGAAACGGACGCUAAUACCGCAUACGUCCUACGGGAGAAAGCAGGGGACCUUCGGGCCUUGCGCUAUCAGAUGAGCCUAGGUCGGAUUAGCUAGUUGGUGGGGUAAUGGCUCACCAAGGCGACGAUCCGUAACUGGUCUGAGAGGAUGAUCAGUCACACUGGAACUGAGACACGGUCCAGACUCCUACGGGAGGCAGCAGUGGGGAAUAUUGGACAAUGGGCGAAAGCCUGAUCCAGCCAUGCCGCGUGUGUGAAGAAGGUCUUCGGAUUGUAAAGCACUUUAAGUUGGGAGGAAGGGCAUUAACCUAAUACGUUAGUGUUUUGACGUUACCGACAGAAUAAGCACCGGCUAACUCUGUGCCAGCAGCCGCGGUAAUACAGAGGGUGCAAGCGUUAAUCGGAAUUACUGGGCGUAAAGCGCACGCAGGCGGUCUGUUAAGUCAGAUGUGAAAUCCCCGGGCUCAACCUGGGAACUGCAUUCAAAACUGACUGACUAGAGUAUGGUAGAGGGUGGUGGAAUUUCCUGUGUAGCGGUGAAAUGCGUAGAUAUAGGAAGGAACACCAGUGGCGAAGGCGACCACCUGGACUGAUACUGACACUGAGGUGCGAAAGCGUGGGGAGCAAACAGGAUUAGAUACCCUGGUAGUCCACGCCGUAAACGAUGUCGACUUGGAGGUUGUUCCCUUGAGGAGUGGCUUCCGGAGCUAACGCGUUAAGUCGACCGCCUGGGGAGUACGGCCGCAAGGUUAAAACUCAAAUGAAUUGACGGGGGCCCGCACAAGCGGUGGAGCAUGUGGUUUAAUUCGAUGCAACGCGAAGAACCUUACCUACUCUUGACAUCCAGAGAACUUAGCAGAGAUGCUUUGGUGCCUUCGGGAACUUUGAGACAGGUGCUGCAUGGCUGUCGUCAGCUUGUGUUGUGAAAUGUU